ACAGUGUGCUUACCAGUGUUGCUGAAAAGGGAUGGACUAAGCAUCAGAGAGAACACAGACCUUAGCUCUGCACCACGGGGAGGACUGGCUAGAGCUAUGGGUCAGUGACGGAACUGAAAAAACCCAGCCGAAGUACAAGUUACACCACAAGGAGACAGAACUGACCUGGCGGAUGGGAGCCUGAUCAGACUGGGCCAGAACACACAGGGGGCACAGGCAGACCAGACCCACAGAAGGGCUUUGUAACAGACUAGUCCCAGGUGGCAUCACUCAUCUCCUGACUUUGACAUGCAAUAGUCUGGG
This is a long non-coding RNA of Mauremys reevesii (Reeves's turtle), 303 nucleotides long. RefSeq lists it as uncharacterized. The record is from RefSeq and is a predicted model, not a curated record. NCBI's taxonomy places the organism in Eukaryota, Metazoa, Chordata, Testudines, Geoemydidae. The transcript is spliced from 3 exons.